Molecule: long non-coding RNA, 580 nt
Filed under: Ananas comosus (pineapple)
Lineage: Eukaryota; Viridiplantae; Streptophyta; Magnoliopsida; Poales; Bromeliaceae
Description: long non-coding RNA (ACOM_LNC028818)
Source: RNAcentral
AGAUGUUAUAAAUUACAUUUCAUGGUUUAGGUCAUAGACUCGAAAGUUCUAUCAUUAAAAUUGACUCAGUAAUAUAAGAGCUCGAAUACUAUCGGCAGAGUUUCAUAGUUAGUUAAUUCAGAUUCGGCAAAAAUUCAGUACGGGUAUAAUACGCAUAAAAUUCGUUUUCUAAUUUUUAAAUUCGUUGAAAAAUUCGGCUUAGAAAAUGGAUUCGGUAUAAAAUAUAAAAUAUAAGAUAUAAAAUAUAAGAUAAUUUAUAUUUAAACAUAAAAAUUAUAAGUUUUUUUAUUCAGAUUUUUAAUAAUUCGGGAAUAAUUCACGAAUUAUUCGGCUAGCCCAAAAAUUCGCGAAUAAUUUUCUUUCUUUGGAAAAAGUUCGUAAACGAACCGUUUAAUUCGGAUUUUCAAUAAUUCACGAAUAAUUCGCGAAUUAACUAACAAAGCAGAGUUUAUCAUAACUCUAAAUUUUGUAAUAAAGCUAAAAUACUUCUAAAAGUAAAUAUGUAUCAUUUACUUUAAUGUUGUUACGAAUUGAAGAUCGACUCUUUUAAAUUUGAUCUAGACUAUUUGAACUUCUUAAA